AUGAUGUCCUUCCCUUCGAAGGACACAAAUUCACAAACAUUAUUUAAGUGGCCUUGGAGAAGAGAAUCACCAUUAUCAGCACAACUGCUCAUUGAUAUUCCACCUGAAAUUGAGUUGUCAGACUACCGAAGAUUGCCAAGUUCUGGAAGUGAGAGCCCGUCUGGACUUCUCCAUGGUGAAGGCGUCAAGGAAGAACCGAUCCCUGACCUGGAUAUUUUCUUCGAAAGGCUUUAUGAAUAUUUCUGCGCAAAAGGACUGAGGUGUAUUGUUACCAAAUGGAUAAUCGAGAUCCUGAAUGUACUGUUUACGGUGUGCUGUAUUGGCUUCUUCUUUUUAUAUGUUGAUUGGAAUGCCAUUGGCCACUUGAAAUGUGGUGUGGAGGCACUUGAGUCUGGAGAAAAACCAUGUGAUCUGAUGGCAGCCAUCAAGCAUAAUCCAUUAGUACCCUUUACAUUUCCUAAAAUGGUCACUGUUGGAUCAAUGAUUAUAUUGGUAACAUAUGGACUUAUCAACUUCCUCAAGUUCUUUGUACAACUGAAAAGUACACUGAAUGCACGUGACUUCUACUAUAAUAGCCUUAAGAUUACAGAUCUUGAGAUCCAGACGAUAUCAUGGCCCAGAAUAAUCGAGAAGGUUGUCCUGCUACAAAAGUCUAAAAAACUCUGUGUUGUUAGGGAUCUCUCGGAGCAUGAUAUUAUCAUGAGAAUAAUGAGGAAAGAAAAUUACUUGAUAGGGAUGGUGAAUAAAGGCAUUAUCUCAUUUCCAAUUCGUCCUUGGCUUCCUGGUGCUGGCCCAACUGUCAAAUCUCAUGUACAUGACAGGAGAAAUCAUGUGAUACUUCCAAAAGCCCUAGAAUGGACCUUAAAUUGGUGCAUCUUCCAGAGUAUGUUUGACAGUAAAUUCUGCGUUCGAAAAGAUUUUCUAGCAAGCCCAGCUGCAUUGAAAAAACGACUUGUAUUUGUUGGCAUUGCAAUGUUGAUCCUGUCGCCCUGCCUUGUAAUUUUCCCAUUGGUGUACCUCAUUCUGAGGCAUGCUGAAGAAAUUUAUAAUCAUCCCAGUACAGCAUCAUCCAGAAGAUGGUCAAAUUUAUCAAGGUGGAUUUUCAGGGAGUAUAAUGAGGUAGACCAUUUCUUCAGACAUAGAAUGAACAACAGUGCUGUGCAUUCGUUGAAUUACUUGAAGCAAUUUCCUACGCCACUAAUUUCUAUCAUAGCAAAAUUUGUAUCUUUUGUUUCUGGUGGUUUGGCUGGUGCUCUUAUAAUUAUGGGAUUUCUGGGCGAAUCCAUCCUUGAGGGUCAUAUUUUCGGAAGGAACCUAUUCUGGUAUACUAUUGUUUUUGGAACAAUAGCAGCUAUAAGUCGAAAAGUAGUGGCUGAUGAGCUUCAAGUAAUUGACCCAGAAGGUGCUAUGUGCCUCGUUGUCCAGCAAACCCAUUACAUGCCGAAGCGGUGGCGUGGUAAAGAGAGCAAUGAGCUGGUUCGGAAAGAAUUUGAAACACUAUUUCAGUAUACCAUAGUAAUGCUAUUAGAAGAGAUGGCGUCCAUUUUCAUCACUCCUUACUUGCUCAUUUUUGAGGUACCAAAGCGUGUUGAUGACAUUCUGCACUUCAUAUCGGACUUCACAAUUUAUGUAGAUGGAGUGGGAGAUGUAUGCAGUUUAAGCAUGUUUGACUUCAGAAGACACGGCAAUAGAAACUAUGGUUCUCCAUUUGAUGCACCUAAAAACCUGAGGAGCUCCCAAGGGAAAAUGGAGAAAUCAUUCUUAAGUUUUCAGAGUGUUUAUCCAUCAUUGGCAUCAAAUGCAGAGGGCAAACAAUUCUUACAUAACCUACAGAAGUUCAAGGAAAGACAAAUACGUCAACAAGCUGUUGCGCAGUAUCAGGCAAUGGAAGCAUCAGGCUUUGUGGAUAGCACAGGUCAAAGGGAUGAUAUCUUCCAUCAACUACUCCCAAGUAUUAUCCGUAACCAUGCAGAGGCCUUCCCACCUGCUGGUUAUAACUUAGAUCCCUUGGGAUUGCUGGACUCAGAUCAAAGAAUUCAUCCAUAUAUUCUGGAUUGGUAUUACAUGCGUCAUUCACCACACUUGGAUAGAGUUGAAGCUCCCCAUUUUGACGAAGCAUCCCUUGAGGCUGGUCAGAACGCAAGUCAGCUAGCAAGGGAAACAUCUGAGAUUGAAGAAGAUGAAGAUUAUUACUCUGAUCUGUACGGAAGGGUUCAGAGUCAUAUGGGAGCAUCUACAUCAAGCACUUUGUUCCGGCAUGCUCCUACAAAGCACAACGGUAACGAAGACAGUUCCACAGGCAACUGGUGGAACCAGGCCCCUGCAUCUUCCCAUGAUCCGCAAGGCAGUUUUCUCGAGCCUCCAGCAUUUGGAUAUCAUAAUAUGGCAGACAAAAGUCAUUCCAGCCAUCACAGUGAUGAUAUAUCAGAGGGAAGCGAGGGAGAUCUGGAGCAGGGCGACAACAGAAGCAGCAGCACCAGGAGCUGGAGAAAUCCCCAAGCCUUGUCCAAGACGAGGUAUAUGGACGACUCCUACAUCGAGGAUGGGCUGGGUCUUCAUUUCACCGAUGAACGACCUGGAGUAGCAGCUGAUGCGUAUGACAGCAUGCCGGCUGGCCUUCCCGUAAGGAUAAUACCUCGAAGCAGUGACCCAGUGUAG
This 2658-nucleotide ribosomal RNA is filed under the name Triticum aestivum (bread wheat). RNAcentral describes it as "partial small subunit ribosomal RNA". The record is from RNAcentral. Lineage: Eukaryota; Viridiplantae; Streptophyta; Magnoliopsida; Poales; Poaceae.